UAAGACACAUUCAUAUUACCAUACAGACCAUAUCUAGCCUUGGGCUGGUUAUCAACUGGAAGACUUUUUCACUGGUUCCCACUCAGUCUAUUCAGUUUGUUGGGGCCAGGCUGGAUGCUACAGUGGGGAAAUCCUUUUUACCAUUAGAUGGCCCGUGCUAUCCAAUCCAUGGUUGUUGUAACUUGCAGGAACAAGCGUUUCCAACCUGCCAUAAUUAUCCAAAGACUUCUUGGACUUAUGGCCUCUACGACCAGUAUAGUGCCCUUUGCUUGCCUCCACAUGAGGCCACUUCAGAACUGGCUCUUAAGACAUUUUGACCCUCUUAGAGAUCCACAAAGGAAGGGUCUUUCUAUUCCCAAGGUCAUACUCAAAUCCCUUGAAUGGUGGUCCCUGGAAGACAACCUCCUGCAGAGCAUGUCUUUUGGAACCCCGCUACCAGACAUUUCCAUCACUACAGACGCCUCCUUAUUGGGUUGGCGGGCACAGUGUAGGGAAUCAUCCAUGCAGGGUACCUGGUCAUGGGCUGAACGUACUAUGCAUACUAAUGUAUUAGAAUUGAGGGCAAUUAGAAACUCCCUUGCUUCUUUUACAGGUCUUCUUCGCAACAAGCAGGUACAGGUGAACACAGACAACACAACAGCCCUCUACUAUGUCAACAAACAGGGGGGAACGGCCUCACUGACUCUCUGCAUGGAAGCAACAGAACUGUGGCGUUGGGCCAUCCAGAACAACACUUUUCCCCAGGCCAUACACAUAGCAGGUACUGCAAACAGCAGGGCAGACUUCCUGAGUAGAGUUUUCAAACCGCGCCACGAAUGGUCCAUCAACCCUACCUACCUACACCCCAUAUUCAAGGAGUGGGGGGAGACCAAGGGUGGACCAAUUCACGACCUUAGAGAACACCAAGGCUCACACUUUCUGUUCCCUGGGAGGCACGGGCCCAAAUUCUCUGGGGGACACGUUCCAGAUCCCGUGGGAGGGAAAUCUUUUCUAUGCCUUCCCACCCAUUGCCUUGAUUCCCAAGGUUCUUGGCAGAAUUCGGCAUUUCAAAACACAUUGCAUCUUCGUCACCCCUUUCUGGCCAUGCAGGGACUGGUUCCCAAUGCUGUGGAACUGUCACAGGGUUUCUAUACCCAUCUUCCAUCUUCCUCAUUCACAGUGGCCAUGUGCUACACCACAGUGUGGCAGUGCUCAAACUUACAGCAUGGCUCCUGUUUCCACCACAACACCUUUCUCUAAGGAGGUGAUCACAAUUAUGCUAAAUGCCCGUAAGGCAUCCACUAGAUCUUCCUAUGGCCAUAAGUGAACGCGAUUAUCUAAGUGGGUGGCCAAAACAGCCUUUUCUCCAUUUUCCUGUCCAUCGGCAAUCAUAUUUGAAUACCUCCUGUCCUUGCUGAAGGAGCGAAUGGCUGCCUCUUCAAUUAAAGUACACCUUGUAGCCAUUUCUACAUUUCAUGAAACCAUUGACGGCAAAACGGUGUUUUCACACCAGGCCUCUAAACAGUUCUUGAAGUGGGUAAAUAAUACCUUUCCCCCUAGACGGCCUCCUUUACCCCAAUGGAGUCUAUCCUUGGUCCUAGGGCAGCUUAUGUUAGCACCCUUUGAACCUCUAGCCUCUUGUGAUAUUAAUGUCCUGUAUUGGAAAGUUGCACUUCUAGUGGCUGUCACUUCUUUAAAAAGGGUGGGGGAACUCGGAGCCCUUUGCAUGGACCCCUUGUUUCUCCAGUAUUUGAUGGAAAAGUCAUACUUUACCCUAAUCUGGAGUUCCUUCAAAAAAUUGUCUCCAAGUUUCACCUACAACAGAAAGUCAUUCUUCCUGUGUUUUUCCCCACUCUAUCUUCUGACUUGGAAUGCGCCCUUCUCAAGCUAGAUGUGAAGAGAGUGCUCCUGUACUACAUUCAUAGGACUAAGCCUUUUCGUAGGUCCAACAGUUUAUUCAUUUGUUAUGCAGGUCCUUGCAAGGGCCUCCCAGUAGCUAACCAAUCCCUCUCCAGAUGGAUUAUAGCUGCAAUCAGACAUUGUUACGCAGUCACCAAGGUUACCUGUCCCGUGACCAUUAGAGCUCACUCUACCAGAGUACAAUUGGCCUCAGCUGCAUUUCUGUGAGGAACCCCUCUACAGGACAUCUGCCAAGCAGCAACUUGGUCAUCUGCGAACACCUUCAUCCACCACUACUCUGUGGACGUUAACACCAAGAGAGACGCUGCAGUGGGAACUGCCGUUCUGCACUCUCCAUGUUGGCUUGAACAUCUCACACCCUCCUCCAUUGGACAUCAAUGGACAGGCAUGCAUCACUUGUCCCUGGCACAAAUAUAAAAUAACUUUGGCAACAGGUGAAGGAUUGUAUCAGGCAAUAAACCCCAGAGAGCCAUCUG
RNA transcript from Eublepharis macularius, 2375 nucleotides. It is a transcript of the gene named Rieske Fe-S domain containing, with no coding region annotated. The record is from RefSeq and is a predicted model, not a curated record. The transcript is spliced from 2 exons. Lineage: Eukaryota; Metazoa; Chordata; Lepidosauria; Squamata; Eublepharidae.